This 365-nucleotide ribosomal RNA is filed under the name Variovorax sp. SB42. RNAcentral describes it as "bacterial SSU rRNA". It matches the Rfam family "Bacterial small subunit ribosomal RNA", at positions 987 to 1390 of the family's 1533-position model. Lineage: Bacteria; Pseudomonadati; Pseudomonadota; Betaproteobacteria; Burkholderiales; Comamonadaceae. The record is from RNAcentral.
UGUACGGACUUUGCCAGAGAUGGCUUAGUGCUCGAAAGAGAACCGUAACACAGGUGCUGCAUGGCUGUCGUCAGCUCGUGUCGUGAGAUGUUGGGUUAAGUCCCGCAACGAGCGCAACCCUUGUCAUUAGUUGCUACAUUCAGUUGGGCACUCUAAUGAGACUGCCGGUGACAAACCGGAGGAAGGUGGGGAUGACGUCAAGUCCUCAUGGCCCUUAUAGGUGGGGCUACACACGUCAUACAAUGGCUGGUACAAAGGGUUGCCAACCCGCGAGGGGGAGCUACACUCGACUGCGUGAAGUCGGAAUCGCUAGUAAUCGUGGAUCAGAAUGUCACGGUGAAUACGUUCCCGGUCUGGUUACACAC